AGCAGCAGCCGCGGUAAUACGGAGGGUGCAAGCGUUAAUCGGAAUUACUGGGCGUAAAGCGCACGCAGGCGGUCUGACAAGUCAGAUGUGAAAUCCCCGGGCUUAACCUGGGAACUGCAUUUGAAACUGUCAGGCUGGAGUCUUGUAGAGGGGGGUGGAAUUCCAGGUGUAGCGGUGAAAUGCGUAGAGAUCUGGAGGAAUACCGGUGGCGAAGGCGGCCCCCUGGACAAAGACUGACGCUCAGGUGCGAAAGCGUGGGGAGCAAACAGGAUUAGAUACCCGCGUAGUCCCUGUCUCUUAUAC
Molecule: ribosomal RNA, 303 nt
Filed under: uncultured bacterium
Lineage: Bacteria
Description: partial 16S ribosomal RNA
Rfam family: Bacterial small subunit ribosomal RNA
Source: RNAcentral